This is a long non-coding RNA of Mauremys reevesii (Reeves's turtle), 667 nucleotides long. RefSeq lists it as uncharacterized. NCBI's taxonomy places the organism in Eukaryota, Metazoa, Chordata, Testudines, Geoemydidae. The transcript is spliced from 3 exons. The record is from RefSeq and is a predicted model, not a curated record.
AGACAGGGAGAGGGGGCGGGGCCAACGGCCGACGUCCCGUCGGCUCGCGCGAGAGUUCCCGCCGCCUCGCUCCCCCCCUCCACUUCUGUCUCCGGCUCUGUGUGUUCGCCUGCGCACUUUCGACGCCGGAAAUAAGAACUACUCGCCUCCGCUAGAGGGGGACUCUGGCUGUAAAGCCGCCCUCCUCCCUCUCUCUCGUUCUAUAGUGGGGCGAUUAUUGCUCUCUCUCACCCCAAGCUCGGGAGCGGUGACGAAUCCGCGGAAGAGAAACCGCAGCUAGCCCCACAGAAGGGAAGGAGAGAGGCGCAUUUUCGCCGCGGAAUGGCCUAAAUUUAAAUAUAUUUACAUAAUAAAUCGUAACGUAGCGGAGGGGGAAAAGGAAGAACGUGAGUCGCUCUGGUGCACCGCGCUAUUUUUUGAAGGUUAUGCCGAAUCUGCUAAAGCCAACUACAGCUGGAGCCAAGUAGAAAUGAAAGGAAGAAGGAGAAAAACACGACUCUCUCAUCCGCUGCCAGCACUUUUGUCACAGGGCCAAGGGUAAAUUGUGCAGAAUCCACACAGCUAAUCCAUCACCUGACAUUUUUCCCCUAAGGAAGGCAGUAAAAAAAACAAACAGUGACUCACCUUCAGCACUUUCUUCAUUGUGAAAAAUGUAAAUAAAUUGAAA